This is a long non-coding RNA of Oncorhynchus nerka (sockeye salmon), 559 nucleotides long. RefSeq lists it as uncharacterized. The transcript has 2 exons. NCBI's taxonomy places the organism in Eukaryota, Metazoa, Chordata, Actinopteri, Salmoniformes, Salmonidae. The record is from RefSeq and is a predicted model, not a curated record.
UAGGAAGAAGGUGAGUAUUUAUUUACAAGUGAAUGUGAAUGGGUAGAUAUAUCCAGCUGGCGUAGCGGGCAGCGGUGGUGAGUUGAUGGGAGUAAAUAGGUGGAUCCAAUGGGGUAGCGGAAUCCUCCGACGACCAGGCGGGAAUGGGGUAAAUGAUCCGGGACCUGAGCCAUAGGACCAUGCCCCAGGACUACCUGACAUGAUGACUCCUUGCUGUCCCCAGUCCACCUGACUGUGCCGCUGCUCCAGUUUCAACUGUUCUGCCUUAUUAUUAUUCGACCAUGCUGGUCAUUUAUGAACAUUUGAACAUCUUGGUCAUGUUCUGUUAUAAUCUCUACCCGGCACAGCCAGAAGAGGACUGGCCACCCCACAUAGCCUGGUUCCUCUCUAGGUUUCUUCCUAGGUUUUGGCCUUUCUAGGGAGUUUUUCCUAGCCACCGUGCUUUUACACCUGCAUUGUUUGCUGUUUGGGGUUUUAGGCUGGGUUUCUGUACAGCACUUUGAGAUAUCAGCUGAUGUACGAAGGGCUAUAUAAAUAAAUAAAUUUGAUUUGAUUUUGA